RNAcentral lists this transfer RNA (67 nucleotides) under Nipponnemertes punctatula. RNAcentral's name for it is "tRNA-Thr". The record is from RNAcentral. Lineage: Eukaryota; Metazoa; Nemertea; Enopla; Monostilifera; Cratenemertidae.
GACUACAGAAGCUAAAUAGAAGCAACGGUCUUGUAAACCGAAGAAUGAAUAACACUUUCCUUAGUCU